AUUGAUUACAAUACUUUAAAGAGAAGUGAUCGAUUAUUGAUUAUAUACUUUAUUGAUUAUUGAUUAUUGAUUAUUAUAUGCGUCAUCGAUUAUUAUUUAGUCAUAGCAAUUAAUGACCAUCAUUGAUUACUAUAUGCGUCAUCGAUUAUUAUUUAGUCAUAGCAAUUAAUGACCAUCAUUGAUUAUUAUAGACGUCAUCGA
Paramuricea clavata is the source of this 201-nucleotide non-coding RNA. Lineage: Eukaryota; Metazoa; Cnidaria; Anthozoa; Malacalcyonacea; Plexauridae. The record is from the annotation of a GenBank genome assembly.